AACUGCGAAUGGCUCAUUAAAUCAGUUAUGAUCUACGUGACAAAUUCUUUACUACUUGGAUAACCGUGGUAAUUCUAGAGCUAAUACAUGCAAAAAAGCCCUGACUUACGAAGGGGUGCACUUAUUAGAUAAAACCAACGCGGGAUAAAACCUGUUUCUUGGUGAAUCAUAAUAAUUAAGCGGAUCGCAUGGCCUUGUGCUGGCGACGGUCCACUCGAUUUUCUGCCCUAUCAUGGUUGAGAUUGUAAGAUAGAGGCUUACAAUGCCUACAACGGGUAACGGGGAAUUAGGGUUCGAUUCCGGAGAGGGAGCCUGAGAAACGGCUACCACAUCCAAGGAAGGCAGCAGGCGCGCAAAUUACCCAAUCCCGACACGGGGAGGUAGUGACAAUACAUAACAAUGCAGGGCCUUUAAGGUCUUGCAAUUGGAAUGAGUACAAUUUAAAUCCCUUAACGAGGAUCAAUUGGAGGGCAAGUCUGGUGCCAGCAGCCGCGGUAAUUCCAGCUCCAAUAGCGUAUAUUAAAGUUGUUGCAGUUAAAACGUCCGUAGUCAAACUUUAGUCUUAUCGACGUGAUGGCCUGGUCUUCAUUGACCAAGCUCAUUAUGAUCGGAGACUCCAUGUUCAUUGAUCUCUAGCUUUUUUGGUUAGGGCUUUUUUUUGAACAAUUACCAUGAGCAAAUCAGAGUGUUUAAAGCAGGCUUUUAAGCUUGAAUGUGUUAGCAUGGAAUAAUGAAAUAUGACUUUAGUCCUAUUUUCGUUGGUUUAGGUACUUCAGUAAUGAUGAAUAGAAACGGUUAGGGGCAUUUGUAUUUGGUCGCUAGAGGUGAAAUUCUUGGAUUGACCGAAGACAAACUACUGCGAAAGCAUUUGACCCGGGACGUUUUCAUUGAUCAAGGUCUAAAGUUAAGGGAUCGAAGACGAUUAGAUACCGUCGUAGUCUUAACCACAAACUAUGCCGACUAGAGAUUGGGCGUGUUUAUUAUGACUCGCUCAGCAUCUUAGCGAA
RNAcentral lists this ribosomal RNA (1007 nucleotides) under Rhizopus americanus. RNAcentral's name for it is "SSU rRNA". It matches the Rfam family "Eukaryotic small subunit ribosomal RNA", at positions 85 to 1096 of the family's 1831-position model. Lineage: Eukaryota; Fungi; Mucoromycota; Mucoromycetes; Mucorales; Rhizopodaceae. The record is from RNAcentral.